This 465-nucleotide ribosomal RNA is filed under the name Vreelandella stevensii. RNAcentral describes it as "partial 16S ribosomal RNA". It matches the Rfam family "Bacterial small subunit ribosomal RNA", at positions 338 to 795 of the family's 1533-position model. The record is from RNAcentral. Lineage: Bacteria; Pseudomonadati; Pseudomonadota; Gammaproteobacteria; Oceanospirillales; Halomonadaceae.
CCUACGGGUGGCUGCAGUGGGGAAUAUUGGACAAUGGGCGAAAGCCUGAUCCAGCCAUGCCGCGUGUGUGAAGAAGGCCUUCGGGUUGUAAAGCACUUUCAGUGGGGAAGAAAGCCUUGGGGCUAAUACCCUCGAGGAAGGACAUCACCCACAGAAGAAGCACCGGCUAACUCCGUGCCAGCAGCCGUGGUAAUACGGAGGGUGCGAGCGUUAAUCGGAAUUACUGGGCGUAAAGCGCGCGUAGGCGGUCUGAUAAGCCGGUUGUGAAAGCCCCGGGCUCAACCUGGGAACGGCAUCCGGAACUGUCAGGCUAGAGUGCAGGAGAGGAAGGUAGAAUUCCCGGUGUAGCGGUGAAAUGCGUAGAGAUCGGGAGGAAUACCAGUGGCGAAGGCGGCCUUCUGGACUGACACUGACGCUGAGGUGCGAAAGCGUGGGUAGCAAACAGGAUUAGAUACCCUGGUAGUC